CAGGGAGACAAUACCUGAUCGUGAUGUCUGAGUACUUUAUUCUCAGGCCAUGAUCCUGUCAUCUCGAAGGUCGAUCGGUACCUCAAUUUGAGGGUAAGAGAAGGGAUGAGCAAUCAUCUUUGAGACUUACCAAUCAAUUUCAGUUCCUAAACUUUGUCUAGGUCACCCCACAGGGCUGUCAAACAAAUGUUUGACGCUACUGAGCGGUAGCAACUCCUGGGCCAUUAGCUCAGGUGGUUAGAGCGCACCCCUGAUAAGGGUGAGGUCCCUGGUUCAAGUCCAGGAUGGCCCAUUCGUGUUUGGGGGUUUAGCUCAGUUGGUAGAGCGCCUGCUUUGCAAGCAGGAUGUCAGCGGUUCGAGUCCGCUAACCUCCAUCCAAUGCUGUUGCUCUUCCCUCGGACCAUGCACGCUCAUGAGGGUGUGUGAGGUAAGGAGUUCUGCUGUUGUGUUGAUCUAGAUUGUUGUUCGCUGAAGAUUUCAGCUUCUUUUCAUUCUUAUCUUGUUUAAGGAUAAGUUGAAAAGACGCUGGAUUCAAGAGUGCCCUGGCAACAGGGCCAUUUGAAUGUCAGCAGAACCUUGACAACUGCAUAGUUGAAGUCUGGAAAUAAAGCAUCUCAUGGAUGCUUGAUUCAGAUCCCAAGUCAAAUCCAGCAAUGGACUUGAUGAAGGAUGGGAAUCAAGAAAAUUCUAUUGAGUUUUUAGAGCCGAGAGCUUCCAGUUUUCUUCUGAGCCCGCCGAGGGUUUGGGAGUUUGAUCCUGGCAUUCAAACCGCAAGCGAGAGUCUGAGCAAUCAGGGUUGAAAGGUUGUAGGUGAAUCUAGAGAGAAUAGGCCUCAACAGCCUGAAAGGACUGGGAGUUGAAAUU
This 864-nucleotide transfer RNA is filed under the name uncultured Synechococcus sp. RNAcentral's name for it is "16S-23S ribosomal RNA intergenic spacer". The stretch from base 302 to 374 matches the Rfam family "tRNA". The record is from RNAcentral. Lineage: Bacteria; Bacillati; Cyanobacteriota; Cyanophyceae; Synechococcales; Synechococcaceae.